RNAcentral lists this long non-coding RNA (617 nucleotides) under Mytilus galloprovincialis (Mediterranean mussel). The record is from RNAcentral. Lineage: Eukaryota; Metazoa; Mollusca; Bivalvia; Mytilida; Mytilidae.
AUUGUUGGUCUUAAGGUAGAUCAUAAGUAAAUCUUUUUUGAGACAGAAUUUUCUUAUACUUAGCCAGAAUGAAGAUUUUAAUAUGCUCUUUUCAAAAAUAUAAUAAAAAGUAGGGGUCACCGUGCUAUUUUUCAAGCUAUGAGUCGUUGAAAAUUGCCUAAAUUUGGUUAGAUUGUUAAUGGAAAAACACAAUUGUGUGCAUAAAAAAUAAUCUAUGAGAUAGAAUUUUGAAAUAAAUUGUGAAAAGAUAGGUUUUGUAAUAUGUUUUAAGAAAAUAAAAAGAAAAAAUGGUGUCACCGAACUUGUUUUCUUGCUACAAGUAAAAAGAAAAAAUUCCCUAUCUGUCCAGUACAAUUUUUUUACUAAAAGAGUUAUCUUCCCUGAAAUGGCUCAUUUGAAAAAAAUGAUUCAAAAAGCAAAAUAAAAUGAUAUUUGUUUAAUUAUUUUGAAUUAUACAAUAAAUUGCCAAGUUUUCUUUAUAUUAUUAAACAGUCUAACCAUCAAAUUGCAAAUCUGUCUCCAAAUUUGCAGAUUAAGGCAAAUAACUAGACCGGUUUUUUACUGUGAUUGUUCAAUCCAAGAUGGCGGUAUACCAUGAAUCUACCUUAAAUGAAUUU